AUANUGCACAAUGGGCGAAAGCCUGACGGAGNAACGCCGCGUGAGUGAUGAAGGUUUUCGGAUCGUAAAACUCUGUUGUUAGGGAAGAACAAGUACCGUUCGAAUAGGGCGGCACCUUGACGGUACCUAACCAGAAAGCCACGGCUAACUACGUGCCAGCAGCCGCGGUAAUACGUAGGUGGCAAGCGUUGUCCGGAAUUAUUGGGCGUAAAGCGCGCGCAGGCGGUUUCUUAAGUCUGAUGUGAAAGCCCCCGGCUCAACCGGGGAGGGUCAUUGGAAACUGGGGAACUUGAGUGCAGAAGAGGGGAGUGGAAUUCCACGUGUAGCGGUGAAAUGCGUAGAGAUGUGGAGGAACACCAGUGGCGAAGGCGACUCUCUGGUCUGUAACUGACGCUGAGGCGCGAAAGCGUGGGGAGCGAACAG
Molecule: ribosomal RNA, 423 nt
Filed under: uncultured bacterium
Lineage: Bacteria
Description: bacterial SSU rRNA
Rfam family: Bacterial small subunit ribosomal RNA
Source: RNAcentral